Long non-coding RNA from Phyllostomus discolor (pale spear-nosed bat), 1150 nucleotides. RefSeq lists it as uncharacterized. The transcript has 4 exons. Lineage: Eukaryota; Metazoa; Chordata; Mammalia; Chiroptera; Phyllostomidae. The record is from RefSeq and is a predicted model, not a curated record.
CCGCCGCGGAGCGCGUCUGGCAUCCGGAGUCUCCCGGGAUCGAAAAUAAUUUGGGCAAAGCGGUGGGAGUACUUAUUGAGCACCUGCUGUGUGCCAGGCACUGUUCUGUGGUGGGGACACAGUGAUGCACAAGACAAAGUCCUGCUUUUUUGGAGCGUACAUUCUGAUUGGAAAAAGAAAAUACCAGACAGGGAAGAGUGCCAGGUGAGAAUUAAGAUGGGGUCACGUGGUCAGGGAAGACCUCUGUGAAGAAGAGACAGAUGAGGAAACUGAAGCUUCGAGAAGCGAAGAGAAUUUUCCAAGAUCUUACAGCCAGUCAGUGGCAAAACAAGGAUUCAACUCACAGCCUGAGCUCGUCAUCACUGCUGCCUCUCCUGUAGCCGCAUCCUCACUCUUGCCCGCUUUCGACCCACUUUCCCGUUACCCUGUGCUCCACAGACCAAGCCAGCUGCCCCUUUGCUGCUGCCCAGACCUGUUACACAGGUUCCCACCUCAGACCCUUUUCCGAUGCUGUUCCCUCCACCUGGAGCCCCCUGCCUCCCCGUCUCUGUUUGCUGAAACCCGGACCCUUCUUCAUGGUUUUGUUUAGUUUCUUCCUCUUCCAUGAAGUCUUGUGCUUAAUCCCACAAACAAAGGGCUGCCUGUUAUCUCUGAAGUCCCACAGUUCUAUUCGGGCUGCUGUCUGGGCCCUCAUCACACUUAUUUUGUGUGCGCAGAGUUUGGACUGUGACCGACUGGGAUUUAGGUUCAAGUCUCGUUUCUGUCACUUACUGUGUCUGUGAUCUUGGGAGGGCAACGACCUUUGUACCACUGUUUUCAUUAGUAAAAUGUGCUGAUAAUGGGGAGCAGGUAGGCAUUGAAUUAGGAACACUCAGCACAGGGUCUAGUUAGCAUUGAAUAAAUGGCAACUGUUGUUACAUAGCUUCUCCCAGCCUCAGUUUCUUCAUCUAUAAAAUGUGUGCGCAUAAAAAGUGGCAAAGGGCAUCUAAAGUGCCUGGCACACAGGGCCCGACCAGAGAGGGCAGAUUUAGGGGUUUAUCACACACAUCUUCCCUCGGAGGCCCAGGCCAGGGCUUCGUGGUCUGGCGCGUAUUUUUUCCAUCGAAGUUGCCGUAGAUUUACAUUUCCAUGGGGUAUGGACUCCAGACAG